Scomber japonicus (chub mackerel) is the source of this 447-nucleotide non-coding RNA. The record is from the annotation of a RefSeq genome assembly. NCBI's taxonomy places the organism in Eukaryota, Metazoa, Chordata, Actinopteri, Scombriformes, Scombridae.
AUGCUGCUUGUGGUUUCUGCUGUGUUGACUGACAGAUCUGAGUCCUGCAUGCAGGAGGUUUUUGUACGGCCACUUAAUGACUUUGUAUCACUGUGGUUGACUUUUGGUGGAGGAACCAAACUCAUCUUGUACUCCGGCCCCAUGGUCAGGCCCUCAGUCUCUCUGCUUCCCCCCUCCUCUGAGCAGCUCUCUGGGGCCUCGGCCACGCUGGCCUGCCUGCUGAGCGGCUACGCUCCUCAGGGAGCCGUGGUGAGCUGGGAGGUGGACGGUACAGAGGUGACAGAGGGGGUCCUGAGCAGCUCAGAGGAGGAGAAGAGCGGACGCUACAGCCGCAGCAGCACCCUGAGCCUGAGCCAGGAGCGCUGGAUGAAAGGAGAGCUGUACUCCUGCAGGGUCCUCCAUCAUGACCACAGCCAGAUCCAGUCCCUCCGCAGGAGCAAGUGUUAG